Molecule: ribosomal RNA, 497 nt
Filed under: uncultured bacterium
Lineage: Bacteria
Description: partial 16S ribosomal RNA
Rfam family: Bacterial small subunit ribosomal RNA
Source: RNAcentral
GAUGAACGCUGGCGGCGUGCCUAAUACAUGCAAGUCGAGCGAACAGACGCGGAGCUUGCUCCUCUGACGUUAGCGGCGGACGGGUGAGUAACACGUGGAUACCCUCCCUAUCAGACUGGUAUAACUUCGGGACACCGGAGCUAAUACCGUAUAAUAUAUUGAACCGCAUGGUUCAAUGGUGAAAGACGGUUUUGCUGUCACUUCUAGCUGGAUCCGCGCCGCAUUAGCUAGUUGGUAAGUUAACAGCUUACCACGGCAACGAGGCGUAGCCGACGGGAGAGGGGGAUCGGCCGCCCGGGAACUGAGACAGGGUCAAGACUCCUACGGGAGGCAGCAGUAGGGAAUCGUCCGCAAUGGGCGAAAGCCUGACGGAGCAAGGCCGAGUGAGUGACGAAGGUCCUCGGAGCGUAAAACUCUGUUAUUAGGGAAGAACCAAUGUGUAAGUAACUAUGCCCGUCUUGACGGUAACUAAUCAGAAAGCCACGGCUAACUACGUG